GAUGAACGCUGGCGGCGUGCCUAAUACAUGCAAGUCGAGCGAACAGACGAGGAGCUUGCUCCUCUGACGUUAGCGGCGGACGGGUGAGUAACACGUGGAUAACCUACCUAUAAGACUGGGAUAACUUCGGGAAACCGGAGCUAAUACCGGAUAAUAUAUUGAACCGCAUGGUUCAAUAGUGAAAGACGGUUUUGCUGUCACUUAUAGAUGGAUCCGCGCCGCAUUAGCUAGUUGGUAAGGUAACGGCUUACCAAGGCAACGAUGCGUAGCCGACCUGAGAGGGUGAUCGGCCACACUGGAACUGAGACACGGACCAGACUCCUACGGGAGGCAGCAGGAGGGAAUCUUCCGCAAUGGGCGAAAGCCUGACGGAGCAACGCCGCGUGAGUGAUGAAGGUCUUCGGAUCGUAAAACUCUGUUAUUAGGGAAGAACAAAUGUGUAAGUAACUAUGCACGUCUUGACGGUACCUAAUCAGAAAGCCACGGCUAACUACGUG
RNAcentral lists this ribosomal RNA (497 nucleotides) under uncultured bacterium. Its description in RNAcentral is "partial 16S ribosomal RNA". It matches the Rfam family "Bacterial small subunit ribosomal RNA", at positions 28 to 507 of the family's 1533-position model. The record is from RNAcentral.